GACAGGAUGGUUAGCUACAAAGACUGGCUAGUUCAGAAUGCACCAGGGGAUGAGGUUCCACUUGGCCAUUCUUUAACAGGUUUUGCUACUGCCUUUGACUUUUUAUAUAAUCUAUUAGGUAAGCAGCGGAAACAAAAAUACCUUGAAAAAAUUUGGAUUGUUACUGAGGAAAUGUAUGAAUAUUCCAAGAUUCGCUCAUGGGGCAAACAACUUCUUCAUAAUCACCAAGCUACAAAUAUGAUCGCAUUACUCAUAGGGGCCUUGGUUACUGGAGUAGAUAAAGGAUCUAAAGCAAACAUAUGGAAACGGGUUGCUGUUGAUGAGAUGGAAAAAACUAUGUUUAUCUUGAACCAUAUUGUAGACGGCUCUUUGGAUGAAGGUGUUGCCUAUGGCA
This 394-nucleotide long non-coding RNA is filed under the name Rattus norvegicus (Norway rat). RNAcentral's name for it is "long non-coding RNA NONRATT008598". The record is from RNAcentral. Lineage: Eukaryota; Metazoa; Chordata; Mammalia; Rodentia; Muridae.